UACGGAGGAUGCAAGCGUUAUCCGGAUUCAUUGGGUUAAAGGGUGCGUAGGCGGACUAUUAAGUCAGUGGUGAAAGCCUGCAGCUUAACUGCAGAACUGCCAUUGAUACUGAUAGUCUUGAGUUUGGUUAAGGUAGGCGGAAUGUGUAAUGUAGCGGUGAAAUGCUUAGAUAUUACACAGAACACCAAUUGCGUAGGCAGCUUACUGAGCCGACACUGACGCUGAGGCACGAAAGCGUGGGGAUCGAACAGG
RNAcentral lists this ribosomal RNA (252 nucleotides) under uncultured prokaryote. Its description in RNAcentral is "partial 16S ribosomal RNA". It matches the Rfam family "Bacterial small subunit ribosomal RNA", at positions 524 to 776 of the family's 1533-position model. The record is from RNAcentral.